Molecule: ribosomal RNA, 253 nt
Filed under: uncultured bacterium
Lineage: Bacteria
Description: partial 16S ribosomal RNA
Rfam family: Bacterial small subunit ribosomal RNA
Source: RNAcentral
UACGUAUGGGGCAAGCGUUGUCCGGAUUCAUUGGGCGUAAAGAGCGUGUAGGCGGCCAGGUAGGUCGGUUGUGAAAACUGGAGGCUCAACCUUCAGAGGUCGACCGAAACCAUCUGGCUAGAGUCCGGGAGAGGAGAGUGGAAUUCCUGGUGUAGCGGUGAAAUGCGCAGAUAUCAGGAAGAACACCCGUGGCGAAGGCGGCUCUCUGGGACGGUACUGACGCUGAGACGCGAAAGCGUGGGGAGCGAACAGG